GAUGAACGCUGGCGGCGUGCCUAAUACAUGCAAGUCGAGCGAACAGACGAGGAGCUUGCCCCUCUGACGUUAGCGGCGGACGGGUGAGUAACACGUGGAUAACCUACCUAUAAGACUGGGAUAACUUCGGGAAACCGGAGCUAAUACCGGAUAAUAUAUUGAACCGCAUGGUUCAAUAGUGAAAGACGGUUUUGCUGUCACUUAUAAAUGGAUCCGCGCCGCAUUAGCUAGUUGGUAAGGUAACGGCUUACCAAGGCAACGAUGCGUAGCCGACCUGAGAGGGUGAUCGGCCACACUGGAACUGAGACACGGUCCAGACUCCUACGGGAGGCAGCAGUAGGGAAUCUUCCGCAAUGGGCGAAAGCCUGACGGAGCAACGCCGCGUGAGUGAUGAAGGUCUUCGGAUCGUAAAACUCUGUUAUUAGGGAAGAACAAAUGUGUAAGUAACUAUGCACGUCUUGACGGUACCUAAUCAGAAAGCCACGGCUAACUACGUG
This 497-nucleotide ribosomal RNA is filed under the name uncultured bacterium. Its description in RNAcentral is "partial 16S ribosomal RNA". It matches the Rfam family "Bacterial small subunit ribosomal RNA", at positions 28 to 507 of the family's 1533-position model. The record is from RNAcentral.